CAGAUUACCUUUCAAAGAUGGCGAAGGGGGAAAAAAAAAGCUCUAAAACCACUCAGUGCAUAGGAAUUAGUUCUCAAAUAUCUAGACCUUAAUGAAAGCAGUUAUUUUGGCCGACUCAGGAGACAAGGAGAGCUUUUACCUACAGAGUGUUGAAGGACGCCCCACUGGGCAACCCAAAGGGCAGAGCCUGCCAUCCUCAGCAGCAGCACCCUCGCUGUCUUCCCAUCGUUGGAGACCGUAUCCCCUAACCUGGGAAUCUCGAGCCGGUGGCCACACCGUCAAGACUCCCCAAGGUCAAGGGAGUCACAGCCCUGCUCUGCGUUCCUGACUUUGGCCUUGGAGAGAGAUGGACAGUGUCACCACCACGCACACAGCCUCCUGGGCUGCACUGGGUUCAGCUGUGUGUCCGUCCAGCCAAGCCCCCCACCUCGCAUGGCUCUGCACACCGUCCCCAGGGAUGGUGGCAGCCAGACCCGGCCUGGGAUCCUCCCGCGGACACGCCUGAGCUUAGACCGCAGGAAAGUGUGGCUGAGGACAUAGUCG
Long non-coding RNA from Zalophus californianus (California sea lion), 543 nucleotides. RefSeq lists it as uncharacterized. The transcript has 4 exons. Lineage: Eukaryota; Metazoa; Chordata; Mammalia; Carnivora; Otariidae. The record is from RefSeq and is a predicted model, not a curated record.